GCCCGGGUGGUGGAAUUGGUAGACACAAGGGACUUAAAAUCCCUCGGCUUUUAGUCGUACGAGUUCGAGUCUCGUCCCGGGUA
RNAcentral lists this transfer RNA (83 nucleotides) under Candidatus Blochmannia vicinus (nom. nud.). Its description in RNAcentral is "Candidatus Blochmannia vicinus tRNA-Leu". It matches the Rfam family "tRNA". From Rfam's summary of the family: Transfer RNA (tRNA) molecules are approximately 80 nucleotides in length. Their secondary structure includes four short double-helical elements and three loops (D, anti-codon, and T loops). The record is from RNAcentral. Lineage: Bacteria; Pseudomonadati; Pseudomonadota; Gammaproteobacteria; Enterobacterales; Enterobacteriaceae.